This is a long non-coding RNA of Actinia tenebrosa (Australian red waratah sea anemone), 342 nucleotides long. The record is from RefSeq and is a predicted model, not a curated record. Lineage: Eukaryota; Metazoa; Cnidaria; Anthozoa; Actiniaria; Actiniidae.
CUCGCCUUAUAUCAUGAGCAAUUCACACUAACAGUCAGCACCGGAGCAAGCUAGAAGAUGGCUGUUUUUAUUGCUGGAGUAGUGGGCAUUAUCGUUUUUUAUUUAAUCAUACUUGGACUUGGUAUAUGGGCUGCACAAAAGAAAAAACAAGGAGAAGAGGAGACGAUCCUGGCAGGACGAUCCAUUGGAGCAGCACUGGGAACUUUUACUUUGACAGCAACUUGGGUUGGUGGAGGAUACAUCAAUGGUACUGCUGAGGCUGUUUAUGAUAAAGGUCUUAUAUCUGCUCAAGCACCUUGGGGAUAUGCAACAAGUCUUGCCCUAGGUAAUAAAAAAUAAAAA